CUCAGUAACGGCGAGUGAAGCGGCAAAAGCUCAAAUUUGAAAUCCUUCGGGAAUUGUAUUUUGAAGGUGGGUUUGGUUAGGAAAAGUUACUUUAAGUCCAUUGGAAAAUGGCGCCAUGGAGGGUGAUAGCCCCGUAAAAGUAUCCCUUUUCCUUUUAUCCAUUCCCUCCAAAGAGUCGAGUUGUUUGGGAAUGCAGCUCUAAGUGGGUGGUAAAUUCCAUCUAAAGCUAAAUAUUGGCGAGAGACCGAUAGCGAACAAGUACAGUGAUGGAAAGAUGAAAAGCACUUUGAAAAGAGAGUGAAAAAGUACGUGAAAUUGUUGAAAGGGAAGGGCUUGCAAGCAGACACAACCUCGGUUGGGCCAGCAUCGGAGUGGGGGGAGACAAAAAAGAAAAGGAAUGUAACUCAUUGAGUAUUAUAGCCUUUUUCUCAUAUCUCCACCCCC
This 444-nucleotide ribosomal RNA is filed under the name Metschnikowia reukaufii. RNAcentral's name for it is "eukaryotic LSU rRNA". It matches the Rfam family "Eukaryotic large subunit ribosomal RNA", at positions 79 to 558 of the family's 3401-position model. Lineage: Eukaryota; Fungi; Ascomycota; Pichiomycetes; Serinales; Metschnikowiaceae. The record is from RNAcentral.